Non-coding RNA from Paramuricea clavata, 294 nucleotides. The record is from the annotation of a GenBank genome assembly. Lineage: Eukaryota; Metazoa; Cnidaria; Anthozoa; Malacalcyonacea; Plexauridae.
GUCGGUGGCCUAUCAAUUAUAUUUAAUAUAUCAAUAGAGCAUGAUGUUCUGCAACCAUUGCAAAAGUUCAAUAAAAAUCUAUUGUGUGCGAUUGCUUUAAAUUUGACAUGUUAUGCAUAGGCUUACUAAAGGCAGAUAAAAUAAACAAAGAUCGUGCAUUGUAGUUGAAAGUCAAUUUCAAAUUCACUGGUGUCAAUAACUCACUUUAUAGCUGUGCAGUCCAUCAAUAAAAUUCAGCAUUUUGAUUUGUUCUUGAACGGUCGGAAACCAACAAUACAGUAUAUACAGACCGCU